RNAcentral lists this ribosomal RNA (255 nucleotides) under Proteus mirabilis. RNAcentral's name for it is "partial 23S ribosomal RNA". It matches the Rfam family "Bacterial large subunit ribosomal RNA", at positions 1770 to 2022 of the family's 2925-position model. Lineage: Bacteria; Pseudomonadati; Pseudomonadota; Gammaproteobacteria; Enterobacterales; Morganellaceae. RNAcentral also lists the same sequence under 1 other name. The record is from RNAcentral.
AAGCCAGUCGAAGAUACCAGCUGGCUGCAACUGUUUAUUAAAAACACAGCACUGUGCAAACACGAAAGUGGACGUAUACGGUGUGACGCCUGCCCGGUGCUGGAAGGUUAAUUGAUGGGGUCAGCCGUAAGGCGAAGCUCCUGAUCGAAGCCCCAGUAAACGGCGGCCGUAACUAUAACGGUCCUAAGGUAGCGAAAUUCCUUGUCGGGUAAGUUCCGACCUGCACGAAUGGCGUAAUGAUGGCCAGGCUGUCUC